RNAcentral lists this transfer RNA (71 nucleotides) under Loxodonta africana (African savanna elephant). It matches the Rfam family "tRNA". Rfam says of the family: Transfer RNA (tRNA) molecules are approximately 80 nucleotides in length. Their secondary structure includes four short double-helical elements and three loops (D, anti-codon, and T loops). The record is from Rfam by way of RNAcentral. Lineage: Eukaryota; Metazoa; Chordata; Mammalia; Proboscidea; Elephantidae.
GCAGUGAUGGUUCAGUGGUAGAACUCUCGCCUUCCAUGAGAGAGACCCAGGUUCGAUUCCCGGCCAAUGUA